RNAcentral lists this ribosomal RNA (218 nucleotides) under uncultured bacterium. RNAcentral describes it as "partial 16S ribosomal RNA". It matches the Rfam family "Bacterial small subunit ribosomal RNA", at positions 524 to 737 of the family's 1533-position model. The record is from RNAcentral.
UACGUAGGGUGCGAGCGUUGUCCGGAAUUAUUGGGCGUAAAGAGCUUGUAGGCGGUUUGUCGCGUCUGCUGUGAAAAUCUCAAGGCUCAACCUUGAGCUUGCAGUGGGUACGGGCAGACUAGAGUGUGGUAGGGGAGACUGGAAUUCCUGGUGUAGCGGUGAAAUGCGCAGAUAUCAGGGAGGGAACACCCGAUGGCGAAGGCAGGUCUCUGGGCCAC